UUAAGCUAAGAAGAGCGUAGGGAGAAUGCCUUGGCAUUAGGAGCCGACGAAGGACGUGAUAAGCUGCGAUAAGCUGCGGGGAUCAGCAAGUAUGAAUUGAUCCGCAGAUUUCCGAAUGGAGCAAUCCGUAUGUGUAUGCACAUACAUCAUAUACUGAAUCAAAUAGGUAUAUGAGGGGAACCGCCUGAACUGAAACAUCUAAGUAGGGCGAGGAAGAGAAAUCAACCGAGAUUCUGUGAGUAGUGGCGAGCGAAAGCGGAAGAGGCUAAACCAUAGGUAGCAAUACUUAUGGGGUUUCGGACAGCAUUUAGUAUUGAUAAUUUCUAGUUGAAACGUGUGGGAAAACGUACCGAAGAGUGUGAGAGUCACGUAAGCGAAAGAGAGAGUCAGCGAGCUGUAUCCAAAGUACCGCGGGACACGUGAAACCCCGUGGGAAGAUGGGGGGACCAUCCUCCAAGCCUAAAUACUACCUAAUGACCGAUAGCGAAUAGUACUGUGAAGGAACGGUGAAAAGAACCCCGGGAGGGGAGUGAAAAAGAACCUGAAACCCUAUGCUUACAAGCACCGAGAGCACGUCAAAGUGUGAUCGGGUACCUUUUGUAGAAUGGUCCGGCGAGUUAUUGUAUGCGGCAAGGUUAAGUGCUUAAGGCACGGAGCCGAAGCGAGAGCAAGUCUGAACAGGGCGAAAAAGUCGUAUGCAAUAGACCCGAAACCGAGUGACCUAUCCAUGUCCAGGCUGAAGUGGAGGUAAAACUCCAUGGAGGGCCGAACACACGUCCGUUGAAAAGGCCGGUGAUGAGGUGUGGAUAGCGGAGAAAUUCCAAUCGAACUCGGAUAUAGCUGGUUCUCUCCGAAAUAGCUUUAGGGCUAGCCUCGUGAAAGAUUACUGGAGGUAAAGCACUGAAUGGGCUAGGGGUCGAAAGAUUACUGAACCCUAUCAAACUAAGAAUGCCAGAUAAUUGAUUCACGGGAGUCAGACAAUGUGAGAUAAGUCUCAUUGUCAAAAGGGAAACAGCCCAGACCCACAGCUAAGGUCCCUAAACAUUGUUAAGUGGAAAAGGAUGUGGGGUUGCAUAAACAACCAGGAUGUUGGCUUAGAAGCAGCCACUCAUUAAAAGAGUGCGUAAUAGCUCACUGGUCGAGUGACCCUGCGCCGAAAAUUCAACGGGGCUAAACAAUGUACCGAAGCUUGGGAUUCUAGAUUUAUCUAGAGUGGUAGGAGAGCGUCGAAUAAGGGGUGAAGUCAGAGCGGAAGCGCUGGUGGACUUUAUUCGAGUGAGAAUGCCGGAAUGAGUAGCGAGAAUUAUGUGAGAAUCAUAAUGGCCGAAAAUCUAAGGUUUCCUGAGGAAGGUUCGUCCGCUCAGGGUAAGCCGGGGGCUAAGGCGAGGCGGAGACGCGUAGCCGAUGCACAUACGGUUGAAAUUCCGUAGCCACCGAAAGAUUUAAGUACAGGGACGCUUUAGAAGUGAUGUUGCCGGGCGAUGGUUGACCCGGUCGUAAGGGAUCGAAAAUGAGUAGAGAAGUCAUCAUGGAAAGAGACAAGAAAAGCUGUAUGGAUAUCUUAGGUGCCCGUACCGCAAACCGACACAGGUAGAUAGGAAGAAGAUUCUAAGGCCAACGGGAGAAGGGUUGUUAAGGAACUCGGCAAGUUGACCCCGUAACUUAGGGAUAAGGGGUGCUCAAGUGAUUGAGCCGCAGAGAAUAGGCCCAGGCGACUGUUUAGCAAAAACACAGGUCUCUGCUAAAUCGAAAGAUGACGUAUAGGGGCUGACACCUGCCCGGUGCCGGAAGGUUAAGAGGAGAUGUGAGAGCAUUGAAUUGAAGCCCCGGUAAACGGCGGCCGUAACUAUAACGGUCCUAAGGUAGCGAAAUUCCUUGUCAGGUAAGUUCUGACCCGCACGAAAGG
Molecule: ribosomal RNA, 1906 nt
Filed under: human gut metagenome
Description: bacterial LSU rRNA
Rfam family: Bacterial large subunit ribosomal RNA
Source: RNAcentral